ACACCGCUUAAAACACCGAAGUUAAGCAAUAUCGAGCCUGGUCAGUACUUUGAUAGGUGACCACUUGGGAAUAUCAGGUGCUGUAAG
Non-coding RNA from Acanthosepion pharaonis, 87 nucleotides. The record is from the annotation of a GenBank genome assembly. Lineage: Eukaryota; Metazoa; Mollusca; Cephalopoda; Sepiida; Sepiidae.